AUGCUUUCACCAAGGACCCGAUCAAGACCAUCAACGGAUGCACAGAAGCUUCUGGAUCUGCUCAGGCCCCUCUGUGUGGAAAAUAUCUUCAAUGUUCAGCAGAAAACACCUAGUCAUUGCCGGCAAUGCAGCCACGGAGGCCUCGCCGGGAGAUGCGGGCCCGGUUCUGGGUGGCAGCUCGUAUGCAUCUUAAAGGAAGUUUCUACUGAGCCGUGUCCCCUCCUCAAUGUCGUUCAGUCAUGCAACAAACACCUGUGCAGACAGAAGGAAACAGAGGUGGGUCAGACACCAGGGACGCUCAGCGGGAGGAGGCCGGUGAGCAAACGCAUCUCACAAUUUGGCAAACGAAGGCUGCAAGGUGCCUUCCAGGAAGUCUGGACUGUGGACUGAAGGGAGGAUGGUGGCAGGGUGGUCUGGAAGUGGCCAGGAGUAGCGGCGACCUCGGCCUGCCUCCAGGUUCUGCCUCUAUCUCGUGCCAUGGACUGCAGGCAGCCCUACUCAGCAGGACAGGCUGUGCUGAUGCUGGCUGUGCGGUCCAGUGGGCUCCGGGAUGGGCAGGAGGGAGAUGGGCAUGGCGAGGAAUGUGCAGAAACGGAUGAGGACGGGAGAGUCAUGGGUGACCUGGAGUCGGGAGAAUAGGCCUGAUGAGAUGUUUCAAGUGGUGUCAGGCUGGAGCCCUGUGGGAGGCGGGUGGGAAUGGGGAUACCCUUUUACCUCUGAUGAAGGGGCUAGGGCCCUUGGCCAGUCCCAGGGUGAAGGCCUGCCAUCGCACAGGGUUACUCAAGGUCUGGAUCCUGCAUCACGACAGCAGCCCACAUCCCACAAUAAACAAAGGUGGUGUUAUUAGGAGAGCUUGGCAUCCCUCGCGGGCUCCGUUUCCUGGGGUUUCACUCUGUGAGUGCAGGAGCUCUUCAAAUGUUUUGCCAAUUAGACUGAAAGACCCACGAGAGGGCAGACGCCAGGAAUCCCCAGGCAGGGACCUGCCCAGAGCCACAGGCCCAGCAGGAUGAGAAAUGCUGUGGGGGUGAGUUGGGCUGUGGGCUCAGGCCACUGCCAGAAAUAAGAGCAGUGAACAGAGGGCAGGCAACCCCAUGGAAGUGGGGGUUUGUGGCAACCCAGGGUGGUCACGCAGCCCAGGGGGGUCGUGGCAGCACCACACAUGAAGCCCAGGCUCCUUCCCUCCUGUUUCUCUGCCAUCCUCAACACACAGCUUCCAUCUGUGGCCAAGGUGGCUGCUCUUGCUCCGGCCACCACAUCUAUCCUCUGGCCAGCAGGGAGGGGAGAAUGGACCAGGGUGGCCAGCUCCUUCCUGUUAGCAACUUAGCCCAGAGGCUUCCCUCGUCCCAUCCCUCCAUCCUACUGGCCAUAUGUUGGUCCCAGGACUACCCUGCUGAAGGGUGGCUGGAAAACAGAGUCUUUAGCCAGACAGCCAGAAGCCCUCCAAAACUGGGGAAAAAAAUCGCAGGCUCUGCUACACUUAGCUGUUGUUAGUGAGGGAGGCGUCCAGGACGGGCCGAGAGGGCAGGCUGUUAGUGAGGGGGCAGGUGGGAGGUGAGUCUAGAAUGUUCUCUGACAGAGUGUCUGGCAGAGUGCCCCCCCUUCCUUGUCAGGCCUUUCCAAGGACCCUUCAGGGAGUGUCCUGGGGUGUCUGGGAGUUUCCAGGUACGGGAGGGACACCCUCCGAUUCUCACAGUCUAUGGAGGGAGCAGCCUCACCCACGUCUCAGCGAAAACCCUCCCUCUGCUCACCCCAGCCACACGGCUGGAACUCCAGCCCACUUCUGCUGCCUGUGAAGUGAGUGAGGGCGUGAGGGCUGAGGGCAGUGGGCAGCUGGAGGCUGGGCUGGGCAGGGGUGGAGGGGUCUGAGGGCCCUCGGGAGAAGGCAGCUUCCGGCCUCGUGGCGCUGGGACCAGGUGGCCUGAGCUAAGUGGGCUGUAGCUGCCGCCCCUCUCUCUGCACUCACCUGGGAGCUGGGGAACCUGGGGGCUGGUCCCUGGCGCUGACUUACCCAAUGCACUCGCUCUUGGGAGAAGAGAACCUGGGCCUCAGAGUGGUGCAGCAGCGGGACAGGAGAGAGGCAGGGGCUUGCUGCGGGGGCCAUGGGGACUCUCCCCUUUCCUGCCCCAGCCCAGCAGCUGCAGCAGCUGCUAGGGGCAGAGCUGGCGCUCAGAGCCCGCCUUCCCACAGAGCCCUCCAAUGAGAGGUCUUGCCCCUCCUCCCUGGGGGCGGGGUCUGGAGAGGGGCGGAGCCUUUCUCCCAACAAGGGAGUGAGAAAGAGGUGCCCAGUUUAGGAGCUGAAGCAGCUGAGUUCCAGGGCCUGACAGUCAACAGGACCCGGUAGCGAUGAGGCUGCAUUGGUCUGGGUGCACAGUCAGGCUGACAGCCCUGCGCGUGCGAAAGUCGACUCCUUUGGGUGAUGGAGGCUGUGGGCUGCCUUCUCCCUGCACUGGGAAGGGGCGAGGCUCCCAGCUACACCAGCUCUGUUGUGGGUUGGGGACACUGCCCCUUCCCGAGCCCAGUGCCUGUGGGACCUACAGUCCUCCCUGAGAAUCCUGCAGCCCUUGAGUGACCCCAGCCUGGAGAUCAAGGACCUUACCUUGGCACCCAGGCCUGGUAUGAGCUCUGACUUCAAAGUCUGAGCGCUCUACCCACCCGGGGCCACGCACUCUGUCACCCUAAGCGUUCUCCCACAGCCCCUGCUGUCCUGCAGAUGUCCUUGCAAACUCAAUUUUCCUUCUGUAUGCAAUUCUCUUGCACCUCUAUUCCAUCGGCAAACUCCUGUUAGUGCGUCAAGACAGAAUCCUGAUGUCUCCUCCUCCAGGAAGCUUUCCCUGGUUGCACUCACUCCCUGCCACCUCCUCUCCUACCCUCCACAUGCAGGGGUGGUUGUUGCCUCCCUAUAAGCAGCUGCCCUGGCCUUUCUAGGGGUGGCUCCCCACUGGGUUCAGUGCGGCUUGUCCUGUGCAGCCGGGCUGGUCCUCAGGAAAUUGAUGCUUCCCAUCACUCGCCUGUCUUCUUGGAACGA
RNAcentral lists this long non-coding RNA (3025 nucleotides) under Pan troglodytes (chimpanzee). Its description in RNAcentral is "lncRNA (ENSPTRG00000053479.1)". The record is from RNAcentral. Lineage: Eukaryota; Metazoa; Chordata; Mammalia; Primates; Hominidae.